Non-coding RNA from Oryza glaberrima (African rice), 204 nucleotides. The record is from Rfam. NCBI's taxonomy places the organism in Eukaryota, Viridiplantae, Streptophyta, Magnoliopsida, Poales, Poaceae.
UUUAAGUGCAAUUGGGAGUUUCCAUGUCUAACAUUUAACCGUUCGUCUUAUUUAAAAUUUUUUAUAAUUAUUAUAUUUAUCAUUAUUAGAUAAGAAAACAUAAAUAGUAGUUUAUGUGUGACUUAUUUUUAUAAUUUUUUAUAAAAUUUUUAAAUAAGUUGAACGGUUAAACAUUAGAUAUAUAAACCCACAACUUCAAUUAAA